UAACCAGACUCCCCAGUUGGCGAAAAAAGAAUAAUCGGAAGACCAUUCCACUUUAUGGAUAUGGUUUUGAUAGGCCAUUCCGCAGAAGGUCAGGAUAUGGAUAAAGGCCAAUGCUAUGGCCGCUGGUGUGUGCCAUCUUCCGCUGGUUGGUUGAUGUUCGUCGCCUGCUGCCAUGCGNCCUCUCCAGAACCUCAUGACACAUCAUAUCCACCGGCCUAUCAACCAGAUGCUGUCAGCCCGCCGCCAUCUCGCUGCGGAUUUCGGCGCGGAGUUCGUCGAUCAGCUUGAGACCCUUCUUGGUCUCGACGUGCCAGAACGACCAGCCGUUGCAGGCUUU
RNAcentral lists this unclassified non-coding RNA (337 nucleotides) under Hevea brasiliensis (rubber tree). The record is from RNAcentral. Lineage: Eukaryota; Viridiplantae; Streptophyta; Magnoliopsida; Malpighiales; Euphorbiaceae.